Bos taurus (domestic cattle) is the source of this 12762-nucleotide long non-coding RNA. Lineage: Eukaryota; Metazoa; Chordata; Mammalia; Artiodactyla; Bovidae. The record is from Ensembl.
CCCUACUUUUAUAUGAUUGGUGUCCUUAUCAGAAGAAGAGAUUAGAAAGAGAGAGAAAGCCCCUUGUCUAAGGAAUUCCCUGGCAGUCCAGUGGUUAGCACUCCAUGCUUUCACUGCUGAGGGCGCAGGUUCAAUUCCUGGUUGGGGAACUAAGAUCCCAAAAGCUGUGGUCAAAAAAAUAAAAAGCCGAAAGAAAGAAAGAAGAGGAGAUUAGGACCUAGGCAGGGGGAAGGCCACAGAAGACAAAGAGGAAAAGAGGGACCUUAAAACAAAUCAACCCUGCUGACACUUUGAUUUCAGAUGUCUAACCUCCAGGAUUGUGAGAAAAUUAAUUUCUGUUGUUGAAGUCUCCGCAGCAGGAGUCCUGUGCUUCAGCAGCCUGAACAAACUAUAAUUCACCAAUUUUCCUAAAGAUAUACUUUUACGCAAGACUGAGAAAAUGUGCAUUGUCCACAGCAAAGACUAUUACCUUCUGGUGGUGGCUCUGAGAGAUGGAGCUGAUGGUGACCAGGGGACCUUGGGUAACCCCAGCCCUUAGGUGUCGCCCCUGCCGGCUACAUGUGAGCAUCCCUGGCCUUUCAGGAAGACAAAGGUCAGGAAGUAAUCGCAGCGCUCAUCCCCACUGGGAAGCACCCAGGGCUUGCCCCAAGAUGUGACCUCCAGUUCCCUGUCAAGACUGUAGCCCUACUAGGAGCUCCAGUCUGGCCCCGAGGCCCCUGCUGGGUCUCAGCGGUCCCCUAUCAGGGACCAGUGGGACCCUCUCUGAAGGGGCUUCACCAACUCCCAGACCUGCUCUUCCCUCAUCUCUGUCUCCAGAGAUUCACCUUUACACUGCCAUCAGACCCUGGAAUACAGCUGGUGGUCUGGAGGAAUUCGCUGUCUCCACAUCUCUGGAACAGCUCUAUGUGGAGCUUCCAAGCCCUGGGCAUCUUACUCUCAGAGGCUACAUCCCUGGCAGACUCUUGAGAGUCCCUUGGACUGCAAGGAGAUCCAACCAAUCCACCCUAAAGGAAAUCAGCCCUGAAUACUCAUUGGAAGGACUGAUGCGGAAGCUGAAACUCCAAUCCUUUGGCCACCUGAUAAGAAGAACUGACUCAUUGGAAAAGACCCCGAUGCUGGAAAGGAUUAAGGGCAGGAGGAGAAGGGGGCGACAGAGGAUGAGAUGGUUAGAUAGCUCUACUGGCUGAAUGCAUAUGAAUUUGAGCAAAUUCUGGGAGAUAGUGAAGGGCAGAGGAGCCUGGAGUGCUGCAGUCCACGGAGUCGCAAGGAGUCGACCCGACUGAGCGACUGGAAAAAAAACAACAUCCCUAAAUGUAUUCAAAUGGACCCACGUGCCACAGCGCAUAUAAUUUACAUAAAGUGCAGGAGCUGAGUUACAAUUGCGUAGUUAACAUUUUGUAGACCAUUUAGCCAUUUCAUCCUUACAACAUACUUUUCUAAUUUGGGAGCUAGCAAUGAUCCCAGCUGUGGCUCAGGUGUUGCCAUGAGUGUUUGAAAAGCUGGGUGGGCUGACCCCAGAGGAUCCCUCCAGGCACCCAGGCCCCAAUCUCCUUGGGUGCUGGAGCAUAGGAGGGACAGCACUUUUCCCAGCAGAGCUGUCUUGCUUGUCCCUAAACCUGCUCUUUGGCUACUUCCCACCUCUUCUUGCUUCUAGCAGAUUUUCAACGAGGCCAGAAACCAAGGGCUAGGAGGUCCUUGGGGUUUCCAAGGUGGUGCCAGUGUUAAAAAAAAAAAUAAACAAACAAACAAAAAAACCCGUGUGCCAAUGCAGGAGAUGUAAGAGACACUGGUUCAGUCCCUGAUUUGGGUUACAAUCCAUGGGGUCGCAAACAGUCAGACUCAACUGAGCAACUAACACACACUUUCACUUCAGAUAAGUACUUUUUUUUUUUUUUUUAGUAUCAGGGUAUCCCAAAUGUUGUAGUUGAUCUGAAACUCAAAUGUAACUGGGUGUCCUGUAUUUUUAUGUACCGAACUGCUCACCCUCCGAGUGCCCCCUUCCGUGUGGGUCCGGCCCCUCCACCCUGCAGCUGUGAGUUUUCUUGACACCUCAACAGCGUGAGUCACACAGUUGUGGACUUCUAGGCAAAUGUUUUUGAGCAGAACAGCGUCAUGGUUUGGGGAAAUCCCCACACUGUCCCCAUAACGCAUGUGUUGGCAAAGCAGAAACCCUAACACGAUGCCUGUAAGAGGAGAACAGAAGAGGCGACAGGAGUGUGGAUGUCCUGGGGAGACCCCCAGCCGUGGCCGUGCUGCAAAGCCGGCGGUAACUAGAUCGCUGGCUCUUCACCACUCAGAGCUUGCUUUGAGGAUCGGCGAUAUUGGAGAUCACACCUUCCCAGCCAGCUCCUUUGAGGGCCUGAUAGUCUUUCUUCCCCGCCUUUCUGAGAAGCAGUCUACUGGGAAGAACAGGCUUGCGGGCUGGGUGAAUGGGCAGGUUGCUUGACUUCAGGAGUAACAAUGGUGUCUUUGUCAUGGGAUUGCCCCCUCGGUUGGGGGGGUGGGUUACAGGAGGAUAUUCAUGUAAAAUGCUAGCACACGGUAAGUGCUUAGCCUCCAUGGUGGCUCUUGUUUAUAAUCACAUCAGGACUUCUGCUUUGCCACCAAGCCAAGCCUUCUUAAAAAAAAGGCAGGCUCUCAGUUCUUGGGGCUCCCACAGUGUGUCCUCAAAGAAGUUUGGAGGUCUUCCGUGGCCCAGCAUCGGCAAGAAGCUGGAGUCACCUGUUGGGUCUUGAUCUGGGUCAGAUGUUGAGUCGCCCAGCAGAGCCCCGAGGAAGCUGAGCUCCCAGGACGUCGGCUGGGAGGGCUGAGGAAAUAAAUUUCCACCUGGCAGGUCCCCGAGGGAGGGCAGGCCACAUUCUGUGCAUGCACUGCACGUGUUGGUGGGGGCAGGGAGGGGCGCAGGGGACGUGUGACCGGAGGGGGAAGAAAGGAGAGGGGCAUGGGAAAGGGCCUGCAAAACUCGGGUCCAGUUUUCCUCUUUUGGAAUGUCCACCUGUGAACCCGAGAUAGGAAAGCCCCUGCCGUGGGACGUCUCUUCCCUUAACACCUGGCUCUGCACUGCGGGGUUGGGACACUCCGGCUUCUUAGAAAGAAACUGAAAGCCCUUAGGAGAAACUCCCCCACUUCCCCUUCCUGAAGAGGAACUUGGAGUUGCCCUGACAGGAAAGUCUUGGUGGGGUUUCUCGGAAGCUGCCGCCCGCUGUUCUACUGAGGAAAACCGCAGGCCCGGGGCCAGGCCAGGGGCCCGGCGGGUAGAGAGCUGGCCAUUGACAAAGCUGUGGCCCAGCUGAAUUGGGAAGCCGCCAAGCUUUUCUCUUCAGCUCCACCUGCCACCUCCUCUCUGGGGAGUCCUCACGCUGCUCCCCUCCCCUCAGCCGCCCCGGGGUCCCCUUCCGGCUGCCCUCGGGCUCUCUACCCUAGACCCCUGCUUGUGUCAGAGCACCAGCGUCCCAUACUGUAAAUGCGUUUCCACCCGGCACGAUGCAGCCAUCCAGUUACCAUCUGUGCAGAGAGGCACCGACCCUCUAGUAGGGGGAGCUGGGGGGGCACAGGGAGCUAUGUUGUAGAAGACCUCUCACCCUCUGAGCUGUCUGGGCAGCCUGGUGAGUGGAAAAUGGGCAUCUUCUGGGCACAUAGGGCUGCCUGCCUUAACAGUGGCUGUUGUUUGCUUCAUUUCUAGAGUGGACACAGGCUUCUCUCUGGAGACUGGGGCGGGGGUGCACCUCUCCCCUUCGCAGACACGUCCGAGGACUGCUGCUGCAGAAAGAAGAGGCAGUACCCAGGGACAAACCACGUGCAAGGCCCCCAGCCCUAGGAGGGGCUGAGAGACCCUCAGGGCCUAUGCUUUGGUACAGACGUGUCACUAGCUAUGGCACCGGAAUCUGGCCGGGCUGUUUCCCGGCUGGAAGCUUUCCAUGGCUCCCCACUGCCUGCGGGGACAAAGUCCAGACUCUGUGGCCCGUGUGUAAGGCCCUCUGCCCAGGGUCUCAACUGUCCCCUCCAGCUCCUCCUCUGUGCUUCCCUCUAUUUGACCUCUGCCUCCUUCACCCAGCCAUCUCCCGCUCACAGGCUUUGACCCAGCAGGGGCUGGAUCUCUUGGGCAACUUGUCCCUGCCCCCAACUCCAGUCUAGAUGGGUUAGGGGCUGCCUCUGCGAGCUCACCAGGCGCAUCUCUCCUGGGACCCUUACCUACAUCGCCUGGUUACUGCCUGGUCUCUUGAUCAUCACCCAGCCAGGGAUAGCAACUGUGGGCUUGGCGUAUCUGAAAGAACGUUCGGUAAAGGAAGAAAUGAGUACGUGAGUGAAUUCAGUGCUAUCUGCCAGGCCGUGUGGCAGAGAGCCCCACAUGCCCACGGGCCCAGACAUCCACGUGUGGAUGCGUCCGCCCCCAUGCAGUGGGAGGGGACACGUGCUUGCUUGUCAUGGUGUUCCUGCUGAGUGUGUGUGUGCGUGCGUGUGUGUGGGUCCCUGCAUUAAUCAGCCAGCAUCGCUGCUGGCGUCCUUCUGGCCAGCAGGUGGCGCUGCGCCCCUCCACGGCAGCGUGUGUCCAUCCUGACUGCCACUGGCUGUCAUCACCGGAGGGAGCCUGCCUCCCUCAUCCUACAGGGGGCCAGGCCCGCAGGGUCUCCUGGGGAAUCAGUCUUGGUCUUCCAAUAGAGCAGCCAGGGCUCUGAUGCCACAGUGUGCGAACUCCGGUUCAACCCAUGUCCGUGGCACGAUGAACACCGAGCGCCAACCCGGACCUCCACAGGACAGCCUGAAGUCCAGGCAGCUGUGGAGCACAAAGCUUGAAAUAAAAGUAUGAGCUCAAAAAAAAAAUAAUAAAGUAUGGUCUCAGAGUCCCAGCUCUUAAGUGGAAAUCAUGGCAAUGUGUAAGAUGAUAUAAUUGAGGUAAACCAAGGACCAUGGGGGGGCUGUAUCACUCUCAAACUGUAGCCCUGGAGGGCUUGUUAAAACAUGGAUUCCUGGGCUUCACCUGCCAGAGUCUCAGAUUCAGAGGGUCUGGGGUGGGGCCUGUGAAUCUGUAUUUCUAACAAGUUCCUGAGUGGGUGCUGAUGCUGCUGGUAUGGGGACCACAUUUUGAGAACCCCUGGGUACAUACUUAGGGGAGACACAAGGUUACAAAUGCAGCAGGCUUCUGGUGAGAUGUGAUGGAAGCAGAGGUGACGGAGGGGCAAACUCCAGGCGCUGCAGGGCCAAGGAGAGGGGACAGACCCCCGUGACCUGGGCAGUAGGAAGGGGAGUGGACCCGGCUGUGCUCACUCCCACCACCGUUCUCAGCUCUGCCCCUGGGCAGUCGCACUGGAGGAAGUGAGCCCAGCGGCCGGCUGUCCGGUUGGCGGGGCACCAGGCUUGCUCCACUCCACGUGGCUGCUGCCUUUCCCCGAAAGGGAUGGGUCAGUUCUCUGCUCCGGGCCUGGCCUCUGCUGUGCUUCCUCAGCUUCUGGGAACUCGCAUUUCCUUUCUGUUUCUUUUUUUAAUACUGCUUUCAAAUCCAAUUAUCAUGAAGGCAAAGCAUGUCCAUCUUAGAACAUCCAUACAAAGCAGAAAAGUGUAAUGGAGAAAGCAAAGUUUCUUCUUCAGUGGAAGUUCCAGUCACUCAGAGGUAAUCAUCGUCUACUUCCUUCCUUGUACAGGUGUCUCCUGCACAAUAUUCUAUCCGCUUGGUAUUGUAGCGUGAGUGUUGCCCUUUGACAUGAACAUCCUUAGGAAACAUGAAUUUAAGGGCGGCACAAGUGCACAGGUGCCGCUCUUGAUGUAGAAACCGUGACCACCUGACCAGAAGUGUCAGGUGACUUCUCCAGGGGAACCUCCCAGAAAGGGACUCGCUGGGGCGAAAGGCAUGAAAAUUUUAAGACUCUUAAUACAUAUGAACCACUUGCUUCCCAGAAACAUUGUGCAGGUUGGUGGCCCGGCCCAGGGUGGGAGGGGAAUGAUAGCUGCUGGGCCAAAUUCACAAUGUUUGAAAUGAAAUGAGGAGGCCUAUGCGGCCACACGGUGGGAUGGAAGAAGGGCCUGGCACUGUCCAGCCUCCACAGCUGCUUGGGCAGUGCCAUGCCCCAUGCCAUGCUUCCGGUGGAGGGUGUGGCACCUCUGAUGGGACCUGGCCGGGGCAGAGAUGCCCUCCUGUCCUGGAGCCAGUGUGGGACUAGUGUCAGAACAUCAGAAAUGACCACUUAUGGGACUUCCUUGGCGGUCCGGUAGUUAAGACUCUGUGCUCCGAGUGCAUGGGGUCCAGGUUCAAUCACUGGUCAGGGAACUAGAUCCCACAUGCCGCACAGCUUGACCUAAAAACAAAUGACCACUUCUUCCCACUUCACCACCACCAACCUGACCCAUCUCCACCAGGAUGGUCUCGGUAGCCCUUCAUUGUCUCCCUGUCCCCAUCCGUCCCUUGCCACGUUAGUCUGUCUCCGUAGCAGCCAGAGAGAUCCUUUUCAAACCUAAGUCAAGUUGGGCCACUCUUCAGCUCAAAACCCUCCAAUGGCUCCCAUCUCACUCAGGGUUAAAAGCAAAGACCUCACUGUGACCUCCAAGGUCUUUAGGAUCCGUGCCUCCCCUACUGCCAUUAGCUCUCUGACCUUGCUUCCCACUACCCCUCCCUUACCUGCUCAGCCGCUCAAUGCUCCUCAGAACAACCCGGCAUAGUCCUGCCACAGGGCCUUUGCACUGCCGUUCCCUCUGCCUCAGCUAGCCACACUUCCUCAGCCAUCCACAGGCCUCCUCUGCUCAAACGUCAUUUCAGAGACAACCACAGGCAAAUAUGCCCUAUUCUGGAAAGCCCCUCCCUGGCCACUGUGUUGGUUCCCUCACCCUGUGUGACGCUCCUCAGGGCAUUGCUCACUCACCUGACCGUCUGCCUUCCUGCCGAAGAGAGGCCUCUGUGAGGACGGUCCUCUUUGCCCAUUUUGUUCUGUCUGGUUUUCUGUGAACCUGUUGAACAGACAACUUUUUUUUUUUUAAGUGAGAAGGCAUGGGAAACUCCCCCAACCAGGGAUUGAACCUGUGGUCUCUGCAAUGGAAGCGUGGAAUCUUAAGCACUAGACCACCAGAGAAAUCCUGAAUGGACAACUGACCGAAAGAUUUCAGCAGCUGGGUACGCGUGUGGUUUCUCCCCUUGAUCGUACCUUGCCACUUCUAAGUUGCCAGCUUGUGGACAGCAGCCGGUCCAUACCAAGCACCCAAGUAGUGUUUAUGUGGAGAACUUGAGGUGGGGCACAGGAGACGGCUGCAUGGAGACUGGAAAACUGGGACUUGAGAUGAGCCCCUGCCACUCUUAAUCACACAGGCCUUGGGCAAGUCCCCUCACCUCUUUGAACCUUGGUUUUGUCAUCCAUAAAAUGGGUAUGAUGAUACCUGUGCUGCCAGCAUCACAGGGCUGUGGUGAGGAUUAAAUGACAAAUGUAGGUCAGCAAAGCCCAAGGACAGUCCUGCUCAAGCUGCAGCUCCUCUCUGAGGCUCUGCCCAAUACCGCUCACCCCAGCAGCCACUCCCUGUUCUGAGUGCCUGUGGAGCCCUGCAUAGGUAUGUGGGUGUCUGAGAGCCGUGCUGGUGUAUUUACUAAGACUGUGCACCCUUGAGACAGGGCCAGGCCUCACCAUCUCUGCAUCCAUCGGCAGAGCACUGUGCCUGGCAGCUGGGCAGUGCCCCUUGGACAUCUGAUGACUGGCCAACAAAUAUAUUCAUUGAACGUGAUAGACAAGUUACUGUGAUAUGAAUAAAUAAGGGUGGGGAUUUCAGACCCAGACAGAGGGCUGGGGUGAGGCCACGCAGCUAGGGGCUGUCUGGGUUCUGGGCAGAGGGCCCGCAGGGAGACCAAGUGCCCCGACUGAAGAGGAAAUGUGGGAGGGAACCAGAUUCAGUGACACUGGGAUACGGCCUGGCCAGCAUCUUCCCCAGAGAUCCGCCACAUGGAGAGCAUCUUCUGGGCUUUGGGGCAGAGGCCUGGCUACCCACCUGCAUUCCUUGCUCUGUGUACCCAGGAUCUCAUGCUGGCCUUGCGGGCCACCCACAGGCUAGAAGGCUUUGCCCCACUCUGAGCUCAUGGAACUCAAUGCCCUGACCUGAGACAGGGAGUCAUCUCACCUGGGUUCAGGCAGGCACCCUGGUGGAAUUUGGUCAGGGAGACCACGCCACACUAUUCAGUCGGGUUUUAAAAGCCCCAGUGAUCCUAUGCCCCUACUCAAUAAACUCUGGCCAAAUGACUCUCCCUAGGGCUGCCCAGGGAGGGUCCUGGGGUUUUCCAGGCCCUGCUGCCUUCCCUCUGCAGACUGGAUGACCCAGACAGACUUAGCUGACAAACAGGCCCUACCCGGGAGGGGCGUGGGAUGCAGUGAGCGAAACUCCAUUUAGGAAGGAAAUCUCAAAGCCAAAGUUGAGAAACCAGUGUCUCGCCAAGGCCUGGGGGGGUGGCGGGGGAGAGCCCAGGUGAGCCGACUCAGUCCUCAGGAAUGGGUGGGGUCUCGAGGUGGGGGGGGGGGGGGGCUGGGCAGGCACUUCCUCCCGCCCCAGCCCAGGGUCUUGUUCAAUCCUUACUGAGGAGUUUCCUGGCGACAGGUAGUGACCUGUCGGCCGCCCGUGUGGGAAGCAGCUUGGCGUGGCCCUCACCAUCUCAUUAGCCGUGAUUCACCCAGGACUCACCUGCUGUCAGGGACCUGUCCCACUGCCCGCCAGAACCAGCCUGGCCGGCACCCUUGGAGAAACCCAGACCCCGUUCCUGCGGCAGUCCAGCCUCCACGGCAGCCGGGGCCAAGCCUCCCUGGCACAUAGUCACUACUCAGAAUUCAUUUGUUCAACCAACAAAUAUUUACUUAUUUGCACACCUACUGUAUGCCAGGCGCUACUGCUAGUGCUGAGGACACCGAGUGAACCAGGCAGAUCCAAAUCCUUGCCCUCCUGGAGCUCAGCUCUCAGGGGAAAAGACAGACAGUAAACAAAUAAGUGAAUCAUACAAGCUCUUGAAGAUGGUGAGUGCUGCGGAGAAAAAGGAGGGAAGAGCAUGAUACGAGUUGCAAUUUUAAAUAGUGUAUUAGGAUGUACCGCUCUGAGAGGUGAAUCUGAACAAAAUCUGAUGAAGAUGUACAAAUAAGGAAGGGGAGAGGUGUAAUAGAAACAGCAAGUGCAAAGGACGUGGGGCAGGGAUGCAGGGUGGGGGCCGUGUUUGAGGACCGGCAAGGAGACGGGGGUAGCCGAAACAGAGCUGGCAAAGAGAAGACAGUGGAAGAUGGGGGUCAAGGCUGCGGGGGCAGGUCACCCAGUCUGUGCAGGGUCUCACAGGCCUUUGUAAGAACUUUGGCUUUUACUCAGCUGAAUUCUGUUAAAAAUUCUCCAAAAUCCCCCCUUCCCCCCCUAUUUUGAGCCCAAGACAAGUUUUCCAGGCUUUUGCCUGGCUCAAGAGGCCAGAGAGCUAAGUCAAGGGUCAGGGUUAUUUUCACCAGGGAGGGUCUGGAAGGACAAGUUUGCUGAUGAGAAUGUCACUGCCUGUGGAGGAUGGGGGAAGAGGAAGAUGCCUGUCUGAGAAUCAAGUACCUACUGCAGAGAGACACCGUGGGGAGAGGAGGCGAAGGGAGCAGAGGCUGAAGAGGAAAGGUGUCGGCAGUUAGAGACAGCCUUGCCCAGCCACUCCAAGCCUAACCCUCUAGACUCACCUGGGACACACCCCACUGAUACUCUGCUCCAACCUCUCUGUCAGCUCUGGCCCGCUGUACCUGCUGUUCCCUCUGCUUGGGAAUCCUCGCUGUUCUUUGCCUGGUGAACUCCCACUCAACCUCCACGAAGGGGUCGCUGAGCCCCCAGAGCAGGUGCUCCUCCCACCAGCCCAGCAUUUCACUCCCACCCCUGGAAGCAUUUUCACACUGAGUCAUACCUGCCCACUGAGGAGUCUCGCUUCUCCGUGAGACCAUGGCUGCGGACCACGCUGGGGGUUGCUCACCUUUCCAUCCUCUGAGCUGGGCACAGAGUAGGUGCUGAAACAGCUAAACGAGUGAGAAAUCGCUUGUUAGGAUUUGGAUCUCUUCAAGGUUUUGGAACAGCGACAAGACCAGAUUCACAUUUUAAGAAGAUGACUGUCUCAGUGUGUGUGUCUGUGUGUGUGGAGGUGUGGGGGAAAGAUCGGAGGAGGGUGACAGCUAAGAGGCUACUGCAGCAGUCCAAGCAGGGGCAAGAGGGAGGCAAGGAAGGACAGAACCAGGGUGCCAGCUGCUGGGAGUGAGAGGAGGAGCAGUUUUUAGACGGGGCAUCAACACUGGCCCUGGGGGCAAUGAGGAAGAGGGAGCAGAGGGUGGGGUCCAGCUCUCCCUCUUGUGUUUUGUGUCCCGCCUUCUGUCCCGCGGGUGGAUAGACAGAAACCACUUCUCAGCCACAAUACAGCGUGGCAGUUAGGAGCCCAGGUUUUGAAGCCUGAACCUGGGUUCAUAUCCCAUUUCCACCACAUAGUCGCUCUGUGGCAUCAGGCAGGUUUACCCAACUUCUCUGUUCCUCGGUAAGGCUGUAAGGCAAGGAUGACAACUGAGAAUCGGUUACUGCAUUUCAUUGAUUCUAACGUUCCCGUUUUAACAUUUCUGAGCGUCAAGUGAAUCUUAAAAUCAAUGGCAUGUCGUGGAUUAAUUGGCAGUAUUCUUUAGUGGUACAUCAUACAUGGCAUAUCUGAAGACUGAUGGAGCCUCAGAUUUGAUGAACCACAAAAAUCACACAGAGAGACCAGUACCUGGUGUGCCAUAAGGGCUGAAUAAAUGUUAGCUAUUAUUACUGUCAUUACUUGCUUUCGGGAGUACUGUUCGUCAUACAAGGUAACAGAUGCUGCAUCAGAAUAAAGAGACAAAUAUAAUCUGGAGCUAAAAGGGAAAAGGAGCUAAUUCACAAAUAGCUAUAAAGGUGAAAGAAAUCUUAGUAAUUUCCCCUCCAGAAAAACACCCAAAGCGUAAUGCUUCCUCUGAAAGAUCCCACAGAAUUCUGCCAAAGUUCCAGAGAGAACUUCAGAAAUUCCUCCUUUACAAUGGGAGACCAGAACUCCUGGCUCCCUGACCGGCAGGGGGAACCAGGGCCUGUCCCCAGAUGACUUUGGGGGUGUUCCCUGUGUCCUUUCGAAUUUUCCUGAGUCACCAUUGCUCACUGCCCACAGUCAGGGCUCUGCCACCUUCUGACCAGGAGGCCGAUGCCCCGGGAUGAAGGGGCACCCUCAGACAGAAGUGUGAUUGUGGAAUGCUCAGCACGGGCCGUCACCAGCGCCCGGCUCAGAAGAGCAGGGUGACCCUCGCCGCCGUCUUAUUUUUGGCCUCUCGAGUUGUGUUCCUGCCUACUGACUUGGCAAAUCCUGGGCGACUCGCCUUGUUUUCUCUCCUCACUUAAAUACAUGUCUGGAAAAAGCCUCCGCCCCCACAGACCCUGCUGUGUGUGGAAAUGGUGACAGGCCCGGAGGAGGAGGAGGAGACACUGGGCGGCGGGUUCGCGGAGCCUCCCCCUCGAUGAGGCGGGGAAAGCGGGCAGAAGAGUUGGCCCAGGCCGGCGCCCUGAGGCCCAGCUGCUCAGGGAACCGUGGCUGGAAUCUCCUCUUGGUCAUCUCCCUCUCCUGGGCAUCACCUGGGCUUCUGAUGAAGCUUCCCAAGUGUGGGCACCUCUUUGAUCUGUGCAGCUCCCUACGUAAGCUACCUCUCUACUUGUCUCUUGACCUAUGAGCGCUGAAGAAUUGAUGCUUUUGAACUGUGGUGUUGGAGAAGACUCUUGAGAGUCCCUUGGACUGCAAGGAGAUCCAACCAAUCCAUUCUAAAGAUCAGUCCUGGGUGUUCUUUGGAAGGAAUGAUGCUAAAACUGAAACUCCAAUACUUUGGCCACCUCAUUCGAAGAGUUGACUCAUUGGAAAAGACUCUGAUGCUGGGAGGGAUUGGGGGCAGGAGGAUAAGGGGACGACAGAGGGUGAGAUGGCUGGAUGGCAUCACCGAUUCGACGGAUGUGAGUUUGAGUGAACUCCAGGAGUUGGUGAUGGACAGGGAGGCCUGGUGUGUUGCAAUUCACGGGGUCCCAAAGAGUCAGACACGACUGAGCGACUGAACUGAACUGAUGAUCUUAUUUGACCAAGUAUUUUGAAACUUUUGGACAACUGUUCCAAAUAUCAAAGUUUAAUUAUAUUUCUUUUAACUUCCAGCUGACUUUGGGAUGCUUUAGAGGACCCCUGAGGCAUCUCAGAGAGGAAUAUUUAACUUGUAUUAUUUGGCAUGGUGAAUUACAUAGGGAAACAUUGUCAAAUGAAUGAUAAAUCUCAGAUUAUAUGCCAUGGAUAAAUUCUACUAUAGAUAUUCUAGAAAUUACAUAAAGUUUCUGAAAUACGGAUAUGUCAUGGUAUAAUCUGUCAGCCAUAAUUCUGGUUAAAUCACAGGUUCUUGAUUAAGCUUCUUUGUCAACAUUGUGAUCUUUAAUUUGCCUUUUGAAGUCUUUGUGCGUGCGUGCAUGCUAAGUUGCUUUAGUCGUAUCCGACUCUGCAAACCUAUGGACUGUAGCCUGCCAGGCUCCUCUGUCCAUGGGAUUCUCCAGGCAAGAAUUACUGCAGAGGGUUGCCAUUCCCUUCUCCAGGGUUUCUUCCCAACCCACGGAUGGAACCCAUGUCUGUUAGUCUCCUGCGUUGGCAGGUGGUUUCUUUACCACCUGGGAAGCCCUUUUAAGUCUUUAAUAGACAGUUAGUCUGAUGCUUUGCAAAAAUACUUCAUCUUUAAGAAGUUUCAUAGGAAGGACUUUUUGUCAAGUACAGGUCUCUAAUAAAUUGCAGAC